This is a long non-coding RNA of Brassica rapa (field mustard), 2606 nucleotides long. RefSeq lists it as uncharacterized. NCBI's taxonomy places the organism in Eukaryota, Viridiplantae, Streptophyta, Magnoliopsida, Brassicales, Brassicaceae. The record is from RefSeq and is a predicted model, not a curated record.
GAUUUUUGAUAUUUUUAUAAUUAUAUAAAAUGUAAAUAUUGUUAAUUUAUUAUUUAACUGCUGCUGUAUUAGGUAGUUAACCAGUCAUAAGUAUCCUGCAAACGCACCAAUUUUUAACCACAGAACCAGUCGUACAAAUCUCUUAAAACCGCUAGAAACCGCAACCACCCGCAUCCGUAAACGCCCACAGCCGCAACCGCUGCGUUUGAACCAGUCAGACCCUUAAUUGCAGGUCAUUUAUUUUGCAGGUUGUACUGCAUUUUUUGUCCAUUCACCCUUUUAAAUUUUUGUCCAUUCACCCUUUUAAAUGCAGAUCAUUAAUAUGCAUUACAAUCUGCAUGAAGAUUUUUAUUAUAAAAGAAAUUUAUUGAUAUGCAAAAAGUAAGAGGUGGGAAAAAUGCAGAUGGCCAAUCAUGUAGUUUUUUUUCCUUGUUUUUUAUAAAUAGUUUAUUUAUCUCAUUUCAUUUAUUUUCAAACAGAACACCAAACCUCUCAUAAUUAUUGUUAAUAUUUAGACCAUUUUUGUUUUAUAUCAUAACUUAACUUUUGGAAAUUAUUUAUAAAAUUAAUAUAUAAAAUAUGUAGUGUAUUAUUUAUAUCUUAUUUUCUAUGAAAUGGUUUAUAAAAUAGUAUAUUUUUGUUUACAUAUUACACCUUUAAUACAAUUUAUUUGCAAUAAAUAGUAAUGCAUAAAAUAAUAAUAUAUUAAGGUUGUACAUUCAUAUUUUUAUAAAAUAGUUGCAGUUUGUUAUACAUGUUAUUUUUUUAUCCUUUUCAAAUUUGUGAUCAAUAAAAAUCAUGUAUUAUAUAUUCCAACAGUAAUAAAUAUUUUAUAUAAAUUAGUUUAAUCAAUUUAUGGGCAAAGGUCAUCUGGAGUCCUAGAAGUAUACCCCGACAGAGUUUUCAUGCUUGGCUGGUAGUCCAGAACAGGAUCCCCACUCGCGACCGCUUGAUCUCUUGGGGUCUCCAAGUACCAUCGCUUUGUCUUCUUUGUAACCAAACGGAUGAAUCGAGAGAUCAUCUUUACUGGGAUUGUGGCUACGCUUUUGAAUUGUGGAAUCGCGUUGCGGGAAGAUGUGGGAUCGUACCACAAAGAAGUUGGGACAACUCCCUCAAUCAGAUGUUAUCGCUCUCACCGGUGGCUUCGACUAUGCGAUCACUGACUCUCCUUGGGUGGCAGGCAUGCUUCUAUUGGAUUUGGAAUGAGAGAAACAACCGCCUGCAUGCAAAUCAAUUCCGAUCACUUGAUUCAUUGUUCUCUAUUAUUGAUCACCAGAUAAGAAACAAAAUACAGAGUUUCAGAGAAACUAACCCGAGGCGUUCUUCACAAAUGAUGCAGCGGUGGUUUGGGUAAAGAGGGAUUGAAUCAUAAACUGGCUUCAUGUCUUUUUCAGGCUCGGGGUCGGGAACCUUCCAUUGUCGUCUGAAAUCAUCGUUCAUCGUGUCUCAUCACCAUCUCUUCUCUCAUUAACAGGCUUAGGACAAAUGUGGGCUAAGGUCAAAUUGUAUGGGUUUGGGUUCUACUAGAUGAGUUUUAAAUUGGGCUUCGGCUCUAACACUAGAGCCAUUGGGCUUUUGUAAUCUUUUGUUUCUUCUGUUUUUAAUAUAAGUAAGCCAGUUACAAAAAAAAAAAAAAAUUUAUGUAUAUACUUUCAUAUUUGAUCAUUUAUAUUAAUUGCAUAAAAUUAUAAAUGUUAUAGGUUAUUUAUAAUUACUUAAUAUCAAUAAAAUAUCAAACAUAUUUUUUUGUUCUUACAUAUACAUGUAUGUAUUUUUUAUAUUUUAAAGUUUCAAAUGAAGAUUUUUUAUACAGUAACAUAUAUAAAAUUGAUAAUAUUAGUUAUAUAGUUGAACCAAAUGGUAAGAAACAACUGAAAGUCGAAUAGAGAUACAAACAAUAAGAGAAAAACAAAAAUAUUCUUUAUAAUUUUGUAAUUGUGAUGAAUUUUCAUAUAAUUUAUAAUUUCAGCAUAUUUAUUAGAAUGAUGGUAUUUAUUUUUAUUUUUUCAACAUGAUAUUUAUUACUUAUUUACAAUAAGUUGCAUUUUGUUUAUAUAUUUAUUUUUCAUUUAAAAAAUUCAACAUUUUUAUUACACUAGCUUGAUAUGCAUGAUCUGCAUUUGUUCUAAUUGAUUUACAUUUGUUUUGUUUGAUCUGCAUUUUUGUUUGAUCUGCAUUUGUUGGACCUAAUCUUUAUUUUGUGAUCUAUAUUAUUAAGAAAGAGACAUUAUGUUGGACCUAACAUUUAUUUUAUAAGUUUUUAAAUUAAAUACAGAUUCUACUUUAUGGUUAAACCUACAUUAGAUCAUUAAUCUAUAUUAUUAAAAGUGAAGUCUUUUUUAAUUUUGUUUGGAAACAUGAAUAACAAUAUAAAUGAGAAUUGUUUGGAAACAUUGAUAGCAGAAUAAAAAAAAGUAUAAUGUCAUUUUAGUAACUUUAUUAAUAUAAUUAUAUUAAUUGACUUUUCAUAUUUCACUCAUUUCAACAAUUUCAUGAAUUAUAUUACAUUAACAAUACAUCACAUCAUUAAUUAUAUUACCAUAAUAAUAAUAGUGCAGAUUUUCAUUUAUUAGUUAAUCAGCAUUACCUUUGUACCAAUUAUAAAA